This 497-nucleotide ribosomal RNA is filed under the name uncultured bacterium. Its description in RNAcentral is "partial 16S ribosomal RNA". It matches the Rfam family "Bacterial small subunit ribosomal RNA", at positions 28 to 507 of the family's 1533-position model. The record is from RNAcentral.
GAUGAACGCUGGCGGCGUGCCUAAUACAUGCAAGUCGAGCGAACGGACGAGAAGCUUGCUUUUCUGAUGUUAGCGGCGGACGGGUGAGUAACACGUGGAUAACCUACCUAUAAGACUGGGAUAACUUCGGGAAACCGGAGCUAAUACCGGAUAAUAUUUUGAACCGCAUGGUUCAAAAGUGAAAGACGGUCUUGCUGUCACUUAUAGAUGGAUCCCCGCUGCAUUAGCUGGUUGGUAAGGUAACGGCUUACCAAGGCAACGAUGCAUAGCCGACGUGAGAGGGUGGUCGGCCGCACUGGAACGGAGACACGGACCAUACUCCUGAGGGAGGCAGCAGAAGGGAAUCUUCCGCAGUGGGCGAAAGUCUGACGGAGCAACGCCGCGUGAGUUAUGACGGUCUUCGGAUCGUAAAACUCUGUUAUUAGGGAAGAACAUAUGUGGAAGUAACUGUGCCCAGCGUGACGGUAACUAAUCAGAAAGCCACGGCUAACUACGUG